CAAAUAUUUUUAUGUAUAAAAAAAAAAAUCAGAACUGGACUUCGCAUUUUAUUGCACUAGUUGAGUAGGAACACUUAAUUCUCUGCAUGUUGUGCCAAUAAAUAUAUAGAUAAAUGUUGCUCACUUUUUCAAGUAAUUUUGCAAUGAAAUCAUGCAAAUUUCAUUGUUAAUAUGAAUGAAAUUUCAAGGUAAGUUUAGAAUCAGAUUUACAGAUUAUCAG
RNAcentral lists this long non-coding RNA (220 nucleotides) under Elaeis guineensis (African oil palm). Its description in RNAcentral is "long non-coding RNA (EGUI_LNC010989)". Lineage: Eukaryota; Viridiplantae; Streptophyta; Magnoliopsida; Arecales; Arecaceae. The record is from RNAcentral.